Ipomoea triloba (trilobed morning glory) is the source of this 423-nucleotide long non-coding RNA. RefSeq lists it as uncharacterized. The record is from RefSeq and is a predicted model, not a curated record. NCBI's taxonomy places the organism in Eukaryota, Viridiplantae, Streptophyta, Magnoliopsida, Solanales, Convolvulaceae. The transcript is spliced from 2 exons.
UACAAAUACUAUCCGUUUUUCUCAUUGACUUCUUCAUUCAACAAACACUUGCUUUUGGAUUCUUCAUGAUCUUCGAAACAUGUAUCUGUUUCUUCCCGUAUUAAUCCUUGUUCCAGGUGACAUGGAUAAGAAAUCGAGAUGCGGAUUUGGAGUUGGAUUAGUCUAUUUAAUUAAGAAAUAGACAUUUGUGAAGAUUUGGUUUAUAUAGAAAUUUAUUGGUUGUAUAAUUAUUUCCAUUAUGUAUUAAGUUGAAUUUGGAUUAUUUAUUGUAAGUUUGGAAUUAGCCUUAGCGUUUGGGUAUAGGAAAGAUGCCUAAGUGUGGCGGUAACACCUGAUUUUAUUUGGAUUAUUAAUGCUUCCGCUAUGAAUGUAGAAAUUUUCAAUUAAUAAAGAAAAAAAAUUAAGGAAAUUUGGUUAUGAAAA